RNAcentral lists this transfer RNA (74 nucleotides) under Cryobacterium tagatosivorans. RNAcentral's name for it is "Cryobacterium sp. Sr47 tRNA-Met". It matches the Rfam family "tRNA". From Rfam's summary of the family: Transfer RNA (tRNA) molecules are approximately 80 nucleotides in length. Their secondary structure includes four short double-helical elements and three loops (D, anti-codon, and T loops). Lineage: Bacteria; Bacillati; Actinomycetota; Actinomycetes; Micrococcales; Microbacteriaceae. The record is from RNAcentral.
GGGGCGGUAGCUCAGCUGGUUAGAGCAGCGGACUCAUAAUCCGUCGGUCGCGGGUUCAAGUCCCGCCCGCCCUA